RNAcentral lists this ribosomal RNA (435 nucleotides) under Streptomyces galilaeus. RNAcentral's name for it is "bacterial SSU rRNA". It matches the Rfam family "Bacterial small subunit ribosomal RNA", at positions 67 to 520 of the family's 1533-position model. Lineage: Bacteria; Bacillati; Actinomycetota; Actinomycetes; Kitasatosporales; Streptomycetaceae. The record is from RNAcentral.
CGAUGACCACUUCGGUGGGGAUUAGUGGCGAACGGGUGAGUAACACGUGGGCAAUCUGCCCUUCACUCUGGGACAAGCCCUGGAAACGGGGUCUAAUACCGGAUAACACUUCUGCUCUCAUGGGCAGGGGUUAAAAGCUCCGGCGGUGAAGGAUGAGCCCGCGGCCUAUCAGCUUGUUGGUGAGGUAAUGGCUCACCAAGGCGACGACGGGUAGCCGGCCUGAGAGGGCGACCGGCCACACUGGGACUGAGACACGGCCCAGACUCCUACGGGAGGCAGCAGUGGGGAAUAUUGCACAAUGGGCGAAAGCCUGAUGCAGCGACGCCGCGUGAGGGAUGACGGCCUUCGGGUUGUAAACCUCUUUCAGCAGGGAAGAAGCGAAAGUGACGGUACCUGCAGAAGAAGCGCCGGCUAACUACGUGCCAGCAGCCGCGG